AGAUCUGUAGCUUAAAAGUUAAAGUACAUAAUUACGAAUUAUAUUAUAAAGGUUAAAUUCCUUUCAGAUCUU
This is a non-coding RNA of Babesia bovis, 72 nucleotides long. The record is from Rfam. NCBI's taxonomy places the organism in Eukaryota, Apicomplexa, Aconoidasida, Piroplasmida, Babesiidae.